This is a long non-coding RNA of Musa acuminata AAA Group (dessert banana), 1733 nucleotides long. RefSeq lists it as uncharacterized. Lineage: Eukaryota; Viridiplantae; Streptophyta; Magnoliopsida; Zingiberales; Musaceae. The record is from RefSeq and is a predicted model, not a curated record. The transcript is spliced from 3 exons.
UUAAGCGGUGAAUUGGUGACAGAAGAGUUUUUGAGUUAAGGGUGAUGAUUGCACUUGUCAAUGAGCUAGCCAUCCAGGAGUAUUAGAUGCGGAUGGGAGUUGGACAGGGUCAUUAUAAUCCUGUAGUUGUGCAGGAGUGCUGGUGAUGUGGUUCUUGUGAGUGUCAGCCACUUGGGUAAUUAAUUAUAGUGAAAAGAAUAAAAUCCCACUUGCUUCCAAAUGAUCUUAAAUGAAGCACCAGCAGCUAGAUAUGCAUCUACUGACUGUUCAUUUACAUUUUUAUGGUCCAUAUGCAUAUAAUUUGAUAAGCUUCUUUUACUGUCUGUCUACUGUCUAACAUUACCAUAUUCUUUCACUGCAGAGUAUAAGCAGCGAUCAUACAGGUCUUGUACAUAAAAAAGAUUCCUCCAAAAACCUCAGCAAAAAGGAACACCUUGCUGUCCAGAAAGGCACAACACAUCAGCCAUGGAAACAACACAACCAAACCAAUCCCUAAUACUGAAGCUGCAAAGUAAAUGGAAGUCAUCAUCAGGAAAUGCGUUGACAGAAUGAAAUGAAUGGAGGAAGAAGGGAACAAGUUCAACCAUGUUGGCAGAUGUGUUCUCGUAUGCUCUCUCGAUCUCUCCUACAAGAUCAUUAAUUGUAGGGCGUCCUUUGCUCGAACUGGCGACACAGAGAACGGCAAUAUUUAAGAUGGACUUGAAAACUUCCAAAUUUAGCUCUCCUUCAAGGCGCGGAUCUACAAAAUCUUCGAGUGGGCGUUUGCCUGCCGAGACAUCCUUGGCCUGCAUCAUGCACCACAAUAGAAUUCAAACAUGAAGAUCUUGCUGAGACUUCUGGGGUAUUACUAUCGAUUUGGUGGCUACCUUUCUUGUCAGAGUUUCUCGUGCUUUUGUGUCCAGUUCAAUCACCUUACGCCCUGAUAGAAGCUGCAAUAUGACUACACCGAAGCUGUAGAUGUCACUGGCACAGGAGAGGUUUCCAUGGGACAUGUACUCCGGAUCCAUAUAGCCAAUGGUUCCUCUAACCUCUGUGAAGCAUUUUGUUUCCUUCAUUCCCACCAUCCUCGCCAACCCAAAGUCCGAAAGCUUUGGCUCCAUGUUGUCCAUCAGCAGGAUGUUUGCGAGCUGAAAACCAUGUAUCAUCAAUGAAAGACGAUGAACUGAUACAAAGUUAUGGGUCAACUUCUCACCUUGAUGUCUCUGUGAACGAUACAGCCAUCUGGGUGAGUGUGGAGAAACCUUAACGCAAGGGAACAGUCUCUUAGGAUCUUCACCCUCUUCCCCCAUGGAAGAAGAGCAUCACUUCCUACAGUAACCAAGGAGGGAGACCAGAUUGGGAUGACGAACUUUGGAGAGGCCUUCGACUUCUCUCGUGAAGGAGCCAUUCAUAGCAGUCUUGUAGAGGUGCUUGAUUGCAACGAGCUGCCCGCUGGGAAGAAUGCCUUGGUAGACUUGGCCUGCACUUCCAGUGCCGAGGCGUAUUCUGCUGCUGCUGUAGUUUAUGGCUUUCUCAAUCUCUGCUUUGGAGAAUCUGUAAAGACCAGACCAUUUGCUUGCUACUUUCCCUGGUGCAGUAGUAGUGCCUUGAAAACAUCUGUGUUAGUGUGAUUGCUUGUGUAAGCAUCGAGCUCAAAUGCACAGGGAGAAUACCUUUGUUGUGUUCACGAGUCCUUUUCCUAGCCUUGAACAAAGUAAUGAGAAGAAACAAUCCGAUCAAACCCAGUAGUGUUC